This is a long non-coding RNA of Cucumis sativus (cucumber), 871 nucleotides long. RefSeq lists it as uncharacterized. The record is from RefSeq and is a predicted model, not a curated record. NCBI's taxonomy places the organism in Eukaryota, Viridiplantae, Streptophyta, Magnoliopsida, Cucurbitales, Cucurbitaceae. The transcript is spliced from 2 exons.
AUUUCUAUGGUUCAACCUCGACAUGGAAAAGAUGAAUGAAUUUUAAUUCGAAAGAAUCUUACCCCACGACAUAUUUAAAUUUUAGAGUAUUGUUAAAGUUAAAAAAUUAUUUAAAAUGUUUGUUAACUUUACAAGCAUGGCUUAAUGGAUUUUUUUUAAAAAUAAUGUCUUUUGGGAAAGUAUUUUAAAAAAUAGGGUAGUUGGGAAAGUAUUUUCAAAAAUAGGUGACUGAAGUCGUGUACGGGGUACACGACUUCCACAAAUCGAUUUGGUGUCGUGGACCGGGCUUACGAUAUCCGAGUGGAGUCGUGGACCCGGCCCACGUUUUCUGACUGGAGUCGUGUACCCGGUACACGACUCCCGUACAGCUGGCACAUUUUGUCGCGUAUGGUGGAAGUCGUGUACCCCGUACACGACUUCCGUACAAUGAGUCAACGGUCAACAGUCCAGUCAACCGUAGGGUUCACGGGUGGAUGUAGGGUGCAGAGGGAGCGGACACAUGUCGCGCAUGUAGGAAGUUUUAAUAUGAUUUAUAAAUUACCCGACGCUUCAUGACACCUGAUGGCGCUUACUGUUAUCGCAUGAAUAAUUUUGUUGAAGACGUACGUCGAGUCUCCAUGGAAAACAAUUUUGAAAUUUUUAGUCCAAUGUGUGACGAAGUCAUGGCAGAUAUAGACAGCCUUGUUCAGCGGACUCGACGUUUAAAUGUUGCCGACACAGAUCGUAGACGCAUUCGACGGCGACGACGACGACAAGGCGAUGAUGUCGUAGAGGGAGAUGGGGAAGCUUCUUAAGUUGUAUAAUUUAAGUGUUUUUAAAUUUUGCUAGAACUUAUUCAAGUUGUAUAAAUAAAAAGUUGAACUUUUUUAAA